GGAAUUCAAUCCGGGGCCAAUGAUAAGUAUUUCAGUUUGGCAUUUGCGCAGAGAGAGCCAAGAUUUUGGCAUCAGUAUAACCUCUGGGUUCUGGUUCAACCCAGACCUCUGACUUGUUGAUUCAGAGGAAUGUCUUUCAACAUGUACUGAUGUCUCUAAGAUGUGACAGGACUGGACACAACACAGCCCAAAGGAACACGCAGCGCCCCUCACCGACAUUCUAAGCCUCGAGGUCUUUUCCAGUGAAUCCGAUAUUUGCAUCAUGUGGCCAAAGUAUUGGAGCCUCAGCUUCAGCAUCAGUCCUUCCAAUGAAUAUUCACGGUUGGUCUCCUUUCGGAUUCACUGGUUUGAUCUCCUUGUUCUCCAAGGGACUCUCAAAACUGAUCUCCA
This is a long non-coding RNA of Bos taurus (domestic cattle), 390 nucleotides long. NCBI's taxonomy places the organism in Eukaryota, Metazoa, Chordata, Mammalia, Artiodactyla, Bovidae. The record is from Ensembl.